UUUCACUCAAAUCUGUGGCUUCUAAGGUUUAUGUGCUAUUUCAGUUUGGCGAAUGACUCCUUAUUUCGAGUCAGAAAAAGAAGCCCUUUAUCCAAAGCGCCUCAGGAAGGCUUUUCUUGGCGACUUCAUGUUUUGUGCAACCAAAAAUGCUGUGAUUUCGGUGUACGUGAAUCAGGAAGAAGCUGAUUUGUUUCUCCAGUACCUCCUGGGGUUAAUGCGUGAGAAGCAAGGAGCGAUUCUCAUUGGAAAGACAACCAGAACAACAACCUACCCUCCCUGAAUGUCCUGGGGGUUCCCAGCCCCGUGCUCGCCCACACCCCAGCCCCACCAGGCUAAGUCUCAAACGAUACCUGCCCAGAAAGGCUUUAUACAACUUGCUGAGCAAACAUCUUAGUUCCGGUUUGGGGUCACGAAAUCUUCGAAAGUGGAAACGACGCUUUGCCGGAGUAGAAUUUGGUGAGCACGUGGUGGCAAUGGUAGCGAUGGCGGGCUGGAACCCGAAGUUCAAGCCCAGCUUUCCCAUGUAAACGCCGUGUGACGCCGGGCCAGCUGCUGAACUUCCCUAAGCCUCAGUUCGCUGCUCUGCAAAAUGGAUGGAAUUCUGACGUCUGUCUCACCAGCAUAAUGUGAGCGAGAAUCAAAUAAGAGAGUCUACAUGUAUAUAAAUAAAAGUACUGGGUAAGC
This is a long non-coding RNA of Pteropus alecto (black flying fox), 684 nucleotides long. RefSeq lists it as uncharacterized. The record is from RefSeq and is a predicted model, not a curated record. NCBI's taxonomy places the organism in Eukaryota, Metazoa, Chordata, Mammalia, Chiroptera, Pteropodidae. The transcript has 2 exons.